This 480-nucleotide ribosomal RNA is filed under the name uncultured bacterium. RNAcentral describes it as "SSU rRNA". It matches the Rfam family "Bacterial small subunit ribosomal RNA", at positions 26 to 517 of the family's 1533-position model. The record is from RNAcentral.
AGGACGAACGCUGGCGGCGUGCCUAACACAUGCAAGUCGAACGCGCUCCAUUCGGUAGCAAUACUGAUGAAGAGUGAGUGGCGAACGGGUGAGUAGCACGUGAGCAACCUGCCCCGAAGACUAGGACAACACCGGGAAACCGGUGCUAAUACCGGAUACCCUUAUUGGACCGCAUGAUCCGAUAAGGAAAUGGAUUCCGCUUCGGGAGGGGCUCGCGGCCUAUCAGCUUGUUGGUGGGGUAAUGGCCUACCAAGGCUUCGACGGGUAGCUGGUCUGAGAGGACGAUCAGCCACACUGGGACUGAGACACGGCCCAGACUCCUACGGGAGGCAGCAGUGGGGAAUCUUGCGCAAUGGGCGAAAGCCUGACGCAGCAACGCCGCGUGGAGGACGAAUGCUUUCUGAGUUGUAAACUCCUUUCAGCAGGGACGAUAGUGACGUACCUGCAGAAGAGCACCGGCCAACUACGUGCCAGCAGCCG